AGUGACCGCUGGCGGUAGGCCUAACACAUGCAAGUCGAACGGCAGCACAGUAAGAGCUUGCUCUUACGGGUGGCGAGUGGCGGACGGGUGAGGAAUACAUCGGAAUCUACUUUUUCGUGGGGGAUAACGUAGGGAAACUUACGCUAAUACCGCAUACGACCUACGGGUGAAAGCAGGGGAUCUUCGGACCUUGCGCGAUUGAAUGAGCCGAUGUCGGAUUAGCUAGUUGGCGGGGUAAAGGCCCACCAAGGCGACGAUCCGUAGCUGGUCUGAGAGGAUGAUCAGCCACACUGGAACUGAGACACGGUCCAGACUCCUACGGGAGGCAGCAGUGGGGAAUAUUGGACAAUGGGCGCAAGCCUGAUCCAGCCAUACCGCGUGGGUGAAGAAGGCCUUCGGGUUGUAAAGCCCUUUUGUUGGGAAAGAAAAGCAGCAGGUUAAUACCCCGCUGUUCUGACGGUACCCAAAGAAUAAGCACCGGCUACUUCGUG
RNAcentral lists this ribosomal RNA (491 nucleotides) under uncultured bacterium. RNAcentral's name for it is "partial 16S ribosomal RNA". It matches the Rfam family "Bacterial small subunit ribosomal RNA", at positions 29 to 507 of the family's 1533-position model. The record is from RNAcentral.